Molecule: ribosomal RNA, 305 nt
Filed under: uncultured bacterium
Lineage: Bacteria
Description: partial 16S ribosomal RNA
Rfam family: Bacterial small subunit ribosomal RNA
Source: RNAcentral
ACAGCAGUAGCCACGGUAACACAGAGGGUGCGAGCGUUAAUCGGAUUUACUGGGCGUAAAGCGUGCGUAGGCGGCUUCUUAAGUCGGAUGUGAAAUCCCUGAGCUUAACUUAGGAAUUGCAUUCGAUACUGGGAAGCUAGAGUAUGGGAGAGGAUGGUAGAAUUCCAGGUGUAGCGGUGAAAUGCGUAGAGAUCUGGAGGAAUACCGAUGGCGAAGGCAGCCAUCUGGCCUAAUACUGACGCUGAGGUACGAAAGCAUGGGGAGCAAACAGGAUUAGAUACCCGCGUAGUCCCUGUCUCUUAUAC